AAAUGAACACGAGUGAGAGAGAGAGAGAGGAGGGAAGGAAGGAGAGAAAGAAAGAGAGAGGUGUCAAAAAGUAUGAAGGAAAAACGAGAAGAAGAGAAAAAAAGGAAAGCAAAAGCAAAAAAAAAGUAACUAACAACUAUAAGUCAUCACAUCACAAAUCUUUUCUCUCCCUCUCUCUCUCUCUCUCUCUCUCUCUCUCUCUCUCUCUCUCUCUCU
This 216-nucleotide microRNA precursor is filed under the name Olea europaea subsp. europaea. Lineage: Eukaryota; Viridiplantae; Streptophyta; Magnoliopsida; Lamiales; Oleaceae. The record is from RNAcentral.